CAGCAGCCGCGGUAAUACGUAGGUGGCAAGCGUUGUCCGGAAUUAUUGGGCGUAAAGGGCUCGCAGGCGGUUUCUUAAGUCUGAUGUGAAAGCCCCCGGCUCAACCGGGGAGGGUCAUUGGAAACUGGGAAACUUGUGUGCAGAAGAGGAGAGUGGAAUUCCACGUGUAGCGGUGAAAUGCGUUGAGAUGUGGAGGAACACCAGUGGCGAAGGCGACUCUCUGGUCUGUAACUGACGCUGAGGAGCGAAAGCGUGGGGAGCGAACAGGAUUAGAUACCCCCGUAGUCCCUGUCUCUUAUAA
RNAcentral lists this ribosomal RNA (301 nucleotides) under uncultured bacterium. RNAcentral describes it as "partial 16S ribosomal RNA". It matches the Rfam family "Bacterial small subunit ribosomal RNA", at positions 509 to 809 of the family's 1533-position model. The record is from RNAcentral.